RNAcentral lists this ribosomal RNA (497 nucleotides) under uncultured bacterium. RNAcentral's name for it is "partial 16S ribosomal RNA". It matches the Rfam family "Bacterial small subunit ribosomal RNA", at positions 28 to 507 of the family's 1533-position model. The record is from RNAcentral.
GAUGAACGCUGGCGGCGUGCCUAAUACAUGCAAGUCGAGCGAACAGACGAGGAGCUUGCUCCUCUGACGUUAGCGGCGGACGGGUGAGUAACACGUGGAUAACCUACCUAUAAGACUGGGAUAACUUCGGGAAACCGGAGCUAAUACCGGAUAAUAUAUUGAACCGCAUGGUUCAAUAGUGAAAGACGGUUUUGCUGUCACUUAUAGAUGGAUCCGCGCCGCAUUAGCUAGUUGGUAAGGUAACGGCUUACCAAGGCGACGAUGCGUAGCCGACCUGAGAGGGUGAUCGGCCACACUGGAACUGAGACACGGUCCAGAAUCCUACGGGAGGCAGCAGUAGGGAAUCUUACGCAAUGGGCGAAAGACUGACGGAGCAACGCCGCGUGAGUGAUGAAGGUAUUCGGAUCGUAAAACUCUGUUAUUAGGGAAGAACAAAUGUGUAAGUAACUAUGCACGUCAUGAAGGUACCUAAUCAGAAAGCCACGGCUAACUAAGUG